This 327-nucleotide long non-coding RNA is filed under the name Salvia miltiorrhiza (redroot sage). RNAcentral describes it as "long non-coding RNA (SMIL_LNC009037)". The record is from RNAcentral. Lineage: Eukaryota; Viridiplantae; Streptophyta; Magnoliopsida; Lamiales; Lamiaceae.
UCACAGAAAUACAUGAUCCAUGGUGGUGGUAUGAACAAGGCGCGAGUUCCCGCAUCUUCCAAGCUCAACACUGCACUAAACUCCCAAAAUAAUAAAAAAAACAAAGAAAGCAAAGAAACAAAAAGAAACUAAACGAAAGGAAAACAAAAUAAAGAAAACGGUUGGGUUACCUCCCAACAAGUGCUUAAUUUAACGUCUAGAGCUCGACGAUACCUCAUGGUCUCAAUGAACAUCAAACGCAGCGGGCGUGACAGACCGCCUAACACGAACAGAGACAGAGGACUCAUGCGCAUCAGCUGCGUGAAAGACGACGCUUCCAUUGGGCAC